This is a long non-coding RNA of Nothobranchius furzeri (turquoise killifish), 144 nucleotides long. RefSeq lists it as uncharacterized. Lineage: Eukaryota; Metazoa; Chordata; Actinopteri; Cyprinodontiformes; Nothobranchiidae. The record is from RefSeq and is a predicted model, not a curated record.
UUGAAAACAAAACAUUUAAAUGUCUUUAUUUUGUUUUGCAGCUGUGAAAACAGACAUCUGAGUUCUGCAAUCAUGACCAAGCUGAUGAGUCUCACUGUUCUUGCAGUUUUGCUGCUUGCCUGUAUGAAACCGAGUAUCAGAAGU